AUGGAUAGAAAAGUAUCUGAUACAUAUGUAAGUUUUGAAACUUUUCCAAAACAAAGUAGUAGCUACCAAGAUUUUUUUGAUUGGAUACUUAAAUAUCCAAUUUUUAAUGAUAUUAGGCCAAUCAAUUUGUCAAAUCGAUUGAUCAAUAUAUACCGUAAUGAGGAUAAUAAACAGAAAGAAAGAGUGGAAAAAGCAGUAGUAAAAAAAAACAAACCAAUUAAAAAAAAACCAAACGAUGGUGCAAAAAUAUCCAAUAACUUACCUACAAAAUUUUUUAAAAAUGAAAUAAAUAAAAAUGAUUAUAGUUCAAUAUGUAACUCCAAAUUUUACGUAAAUAUAAUUAAAAAGAGUGAAACUAUUUGUAAUACUUAUAAUGAAAGUUUGAAAGAAGAAAGAAUAAAUAAAUUAAUACUCAAAAGAGUUCAAGAAAAAUAUUUAAAAAAAAAAGAAACGAACAAAAAAUGUAUUUAUACACCAACCAGUAACCCGAACGCAUUUAUAAAUACAAAACAAACUGUAUUAUUAAAAGA
Molecule: long non-coding RNA, 530 nt
Filed under: Piliocolobus tephrosceles (Ugandan red Colobus)
Lineage: Eukaryota; Metazoa; Chordata; Mammalia; Primates; Cercopithecidae
Description: lncRNA (ENSPTEG00000026583.1)
Source: RNAcentral